UUAGUAGAGACGGGGUUUUACCAUAUUGGCCAGGCUGGUCUCAAACUCCUGACCUCAUGAUCCACCUGCCUCGGCCUCCCAAAGUGCUGUUUUUUUUUUUUAAUUUUUAAGGGUAAAUAGUAGGUGUAUAUAUUUAUGGGGUACAUGAGAUAUUUUGAUACAGGUAUACAAUGCAUAAUAAGCACCUCAGGGUAAAUGAGAUAUCCAUUGCCUUAAGCAUUUAUCCUUUGUGUUACAAACACUCUAAUUAUACUCUUUUAGUUAUUUUUAUUAAAAAAAUUUUUAUAGCCAGGAUAACAGAAUCUCAUUUUUUUUUUUAUGGCUGAAAAGCACUCCAUUGUGUGUAUGUGCCACAUUUUCUUCAUUAUCUGUUGAUGGACACUUAGGUUGCUUCCAAAUCUUGGCUACUGAGAAUAGUGCUGC
This 423-nucleotide long non-coding RNA is filed under the name Homo sapiens (human). RNAcentral describes it as "non-protein coding lnc-FAM149B1-3:1". Lineage: Eukaryota; Metazoa; Chordata; Mammalia; Primates; Hominidae. The record is from RNAcentral.